UUGAACUCCACGAUUGGCGGUCUGGAAAUCUGGGGCGGGGCCUGAGGGGCAGCACGCUCAGGAUUGGCGACUGCGCAGACGGGGUGGGCCGGCCCCUUUGUCUGAGGGUGCUGCGCGGCCGCCCUUCGGCGGGAGGCUGCGACAGACGGUGAGCUGGAGGUACGUGACCUGUGUAUGGAAAGACCAUGGUGACAUUUGCUGGAGCAUUGACAUUGAAUCUGUGCCCUUGCCUACGUCAGUCUCUGUAGGGCACCUGCUGACAGUUUGAGUGCCUUUCUGGCUUGCCUGCAUACUGCCAGGCAGCCUUCCUGAGAAAGAAUGUGAGAAAACUCCAUGUUUCCAUCCUUGCCAGCAGAAGAUAUUCACUCCUUGCUUGUUGCUGUUCCAAAGAGUUUGAAGCCUGUAGAGACCAGAGCUGCAUAUUCACUGAAGAUCAAAUUCUUAUGUAGACAAGGAUGGGAGGAUCACCCAGCCAAGGCAGAUAAUAAUGCCCGCCAUUUCACUGUGGAAGAGCCCUGGUGUCGUGUGCUUACUGAACCAGGUGCAUGAGAAGAAGGAUUGUAUUCUUCUACCACACUUUCUGGGUGUGAUCUCCUUUUGGUUACAGGCUGGAUUCUGUGUCACUGUGCAGACUCCUCCUUGAUGAUCCAGAAGACUGAACCUCAUCCUCUACAGGACUAGCGUGUCAGAAGAUCUCAUAGCCCGUCUCUUUUUCCCAGUCAUUUGAGUCCAGUAGACCAAAUGAUGGCAGCAGCCGGGCUCCUGCCACUACCAGCGGGACCCCAGGCCAAGGUGACCUUUGAGGAUGUGGCUGUGCUCCUCUCCCAGGACGAGUGGGACUGCUUGGGCCCUGCUCAGAGAGGCCUCUACCGAAAUGUGAUGAUGGAGACUUACGGGAAUGUGGUCUCUCUGGGACUUCCAGGAUCCAAGCCCAAUGUGAUCUCCCAGCUGGAGCGAGGAGAAGAUCCAUGGGUCCUGGAUGGACAGGGGACUGAGGAAAGACAAGGCUUGGGUAAUGACUACUCAGGUGAGUGAUGGGAGUGAAGGUGUGUGGGGCUGCUGUUUUCACUGAAGGCCAGGCUUGUUCAGACUGAACAGCUCAUAAGAGUGGCUGUCAGGGAAGGGGUCUGUCAAGCCUCACCUGGCAGAGGAGUCCACAGUCCAGAAGGUGCUUAGCCAGGCAGCAUUCCAUGGCAGGAAAUAGGUAUAACAAUGACACUAGAUGGGGUGGUAGAACUGGGUGCAAAGGAGAAUGGACAGGAGGGCUGAAUCUAGUAGAAGCAAUAUUAGGCCACAGACAGAUUUUUGUCGCUGCCCAGAGAGACAGAAACUGAUUAGCCAGUUUCCAAAGGGAUAUUCAGGUUGUGGGGGUUACCCAAUUGGUUUAGAAAAGAACAAAGCAUCCUACGUGUAAAAGGGAAGUUUCUCAACCUGGUAUUCAUGGCGAAGGACUGAAAGCUUGCUGUUUGAGCUUAGGAGUCCACAGUCCCUUCAUCCAUACAGUAUUAUACUCUGGUCCCAUGUGUGAAAUAAGGCAAAAUAAAAACCACAAAGCUAAAACUGCAAAGCAUAUAUAUAUGGAAGGGGGAAAGAAAACAAUUGUUCAAUGUUCCUGUGAUUGUCAAUUUAAAAAAAGAUACAUUAGAAGCCAUAAGAGAAUUUUGCAGUGUUUCUGGAUACAGAAUUAUUUGUGUUUCUGCUUAGUAAUAAACAAAAUUGUACUUUUUAAGAUAACAGAAAUAUGAAGUGUCCAAAUUAAUCCAACCAAAGAUGUAUAAGACCUUUAUGGACAAAAUCAUAAAAGAGAGGAUGGUAUUAUGUAGCUAGGUCCAACCAUUAAGGCUGUGUUCACAGCUGAAUUAGUUGAAUAACCUCUGACUACAGUAUCAACAGAGUCUUGAGAAAACCUCAGCCAGCCUGCCCUCCUAGGAUAAGUUGGGAGGGGUGGCAUAGUCAACAGUCCACAGGCUGAUUGGCAUCAGCAUCUCGGUGUAGCUGUUUUCCCUGAGAACUGGUCCUUGUUUCUAGAGAUGGUAUGGACAGGACCCCAGGUAUUACAGAUGACCUGCCUCUUAUUGACCUGCAAAAUGAGUUGUCCUUAGAGGAACAGCAGAUGUGCUAGCUUCCAAGGAGUUUUAUAUUCCAGUGAAAGUAAGCAAGAGAAUACAUUAUGUUGUGGAAAACUUACACAAAACUUUUCUUUCUUUCUCUUUUUUUUUGAAAUGGGGUCUUGCUGUGUUUCCUAGGCUGGCCUGAAUAUCCUGGGCACAAGUGAUCCUCCUGCCUCAGCCUCAUGAGUAGCUGGACGUGCAUGAUUGUAUCCCACUUUACAUUGUACUUAAAACUGCUGACUGUAGGCAUAGGAGGCAAGAAAACACAGAGGGCAUUUGCUGCUACUGCCAAAUCAGACCCUUUCUCCAUGGAGGCAGAUGUGUUCCUGCUUGGUAGGGAUUUGAGUGCCUUUGAGUUUUAUGCUGAAGAGACUGAGAUUUUCCAGGAGCACCUGAUCACUCUGUCUCUGUCACAGUGGAAAACCACAGUGGAAGACGGCACCAAACAACCUCAAAUGUGAACAUACUGCAACCUGUAUGAAAAAGGACAGUUUUUCUUGUCUGUGGGGUAAGUAUAUGCUUGGCCUUUUUAAUUAAGUACAGUCCCUAAAGGUGUUGGUGCUCCUGUCACCCAAACAACAUUAUGAGUUUCUCCAGGGUGUGUUAAAGCUAGUUGUACAGCUCACACACACAAACCCCAUAAAACACUAAGGAGGUUUUUCCUAACUAAAAAUCUAUUUCAGUGAAAACACUUUUUCCCUCUUUAUGUAUUUUGUCAUACUUAAAACAUACUUCUCUACUUAAAGCUACAACUAAAAGCAUCAUUCUAAAAGCAAGUGGCAGUUUGCUUAAUGCAAGACACAGGGAAGGUGCACCUGUCACUGGCCUUCACAGCAGCUUGAGUCUGUCACACAAACAUCAUAUGAUGCUUUAUGUCAUGAAUGAUUGAGUAGCCAUCUGUUUAAUUAGCUUAUUUUUUUAUUAUUAAAAUCAUCUUGUUACUCUGGCAUCAGGUCAGAAGCCAUCCUUUCAGGAAACUCCAAAUGAUAGAAAUGAUACCUUUCAAUGCAAAUGACUAGUUCUUUCCUUGGCCUAUAGGCUUUUUUCUGUGAAGAUGGGGCUUAUGAAUUAAAAAACUAAAACCAGCCUAUUGGUUUUAAAAAAUGCAUGGUAUAACUUUUGUUUAUUUAUUUUUUGUGAUACUGAGGGUUUGA
This is a non-coding RNA of Castor canadensis (American beaver), 3265 nucleotides long. Lineage: Eukaryota; Metazoa; Chordata; Mammalia; Rodentia; Castoridae. The record is from RefSeq and is a predicted model, not a curated record.